AGACCCGAAACCCGGUGAUCUAGCCAUGGGCAGGUUGAAGGUUGGGUAACACUAACUGGAGGACCGAACCGACUAAUGUUGAAAAAUUAGCGGAUGACCUGUGGCUGGGGGUGAAAGGCCAAUCAAACCGGGAGAUAGCUGGUUCUCCCCGAAAGCUAUUUAGGUAGCGCCUCGUGAAUUCAUCUCCGGGGGUAGAGCACUGUUUCGGCUAGGGGGCCAUCCCGGCUUACCAACCCGAUGCAAACUGCGAAUACCGGAGAAUGUUAUCACGGGAGACACACGGCGGGUGCUAACGUCCGUCGUGAAGAGGGAAACAACCCAGACCGCCAGCUAAGGUCCCAAAGUCAUGGUUAAGUGGGAAACGAUGUGGGAAGGCCCAGACAGCCAGGAUGUUGGCUUAGAAGCAGCCAUCAUUUAAAGAAAGCGUAAUAGCUCACUGGUCGAGUCGGCCUGCGCGGAAGAUGUAACGGGGCUAAACCAUGCACCGAAGCUGCGGCAGCGACGCUUAUGCGUUGUUGGGUAGGGGAGCGUUCUGUAAGCCUGUGAAGGUGUGUCGUGAGGCAUGCUGGAGGUAUCAGAAGUGCGAAUGCUGACAUAAGUAACGAUAAAGCGGGUGAAAAGCCCGCUCGCCGGAAGACCAAGGGUUCCUGUCCAACGUUAAUCGGGGCAGGGUGAGUCGACCCCUAAGGCGAGGCCGAAAGGCGUAGUCGAUGGGAAACGGGUUAAUAUUCCCGUACUUGGUGUUACUGCGAAGGGGGGACGGAGAAGGCUAUGUUGGCCGGGCGACGGUUGUCCCGGUUUAAGCGUGUAGGUGUGUGUUCCAGGUAAAUCCGGUUCACUUUAACACUGAGGCGUGAUGACGAGGCACUACGGUGCUGAAGUAACAAAUGCCCUGCUUCCAGGAAAAGCCUCUAAGCAUCAGGUAACAUCAAAUCGUACCCCAAACCGACACAGGUGGUCAGGUAGAGAAUACCAAGGCGCUUGAGAGAACUCGGGUGAAGGAACUAGGCAAAAUGGUGCCGUAACUUCGGGAGAAGGCACGCUGACACGUAGGUGAAGUGAUUUACUCACG
Molecule: ribosomal RNA, 1072 nt
Filed under: Salmonella enterica
Lineage: Bacteria; Pseudomonadati; Pseudomonadota; Gammaproteobacteria; Enterobacterales; Enterobacteriaceae
Description: partial 23S ribosomal RNA
Rfam family: Bacterial large subunit ribosomal RNA
Source: RNAcentral